GCAAUCACUAACCCAUAUGUUAUACACACUAAUGUAACAGCGCUAUACAUGUGGGAAAAUGAGGAUCAGCUGAAGAUAAGUGUGUUGAUUACAGAGAUUGACACCUGAUGCUCCCCAAAGCACAAGAAAAUUCAGCUUCUAAUCCUGGACAGUGGAUACCAUCACGCGUAGGGCUUACCUAUACAGUCACUGGGAAGCAUCAGAUUGUGAGUCCAUAUUGUUGUAGAUUUGAGUAUACCGCCGUCGAUUUUCAGGUUUCGGCAUAACGGGUUUCUUCCGCAAACCAAAGAUUUCUUGUACCAAAGGAACAUGAACCAGCACUAAUUUCCAAGCUAAAAACCAACCUAAGAUAAGUAAGGAGAAGACGAAGACGAUAGCCAGAAGGGGACGAAAAAGGAAUAAAGUGAGAAAUUCCAACGAUGAUACAGAGGCAUUCAACUCAUACGAUGAAGACGACUCCAUGAUUCAACUGAUGAUGGAAUUUUCUGGAAUAAUGGCUUGACUAAUUAUUUUUUGUAAUGAAUAUGG
Molecule: unclassified non-coding RNA, 528 nt
Filed under: Hevea brasiliensis (rubber tree)
Lineage: Eukaryota; Viridiplantae; Streptophyta; Magnoliopsida; Malpighiales; Euphorbiaceae
Source: RNAcentral